AGAGUUUGAUCAUGGCUCAGAGCGAACGCUGGCGGCAGGCUUAACACAUGCAAGUCGAACGCCCGUAGCAAUACGGGAGUGGCAGACGGGAGAGUAACACGUGGGAACGUGCCCUUCAGUUCGGAACAACCCAGGGAAACUUGGGCUAAUACCGGAUACGUCCGUAAGGAGAAAGAUUUAUCGCUGAAGGAUCGGCCCGCGUCUGAUUAGCUAGUUGGUGAGGUAACGGCUCACCAAGGCGACGAUCAGUAGCUGGUCUGAGAGGAUGAUCAGCCUCAUUGGGACUGAGACACGGCCCAAACUCCUACGGGAGGCAGCAGUGGGGAAUCUUGGACAAUGGGCGCAAGCCUGAUCCAGCCAUGCCGCGUGGGUGAUGAAGGCCCUAGGGUUGUAAAGCCCUUUCGGCGGGGAAGAUAAUGACGGUACCCGCAGAAGAAGCCCCGGCUAACUUCGUGCCAGCAGCCGCGGUAAUACGAAGGGGGCUAGCGUUGCUCGGAAUCACUGGGCGUAAAGCGCACGUAGGCGGCUUUUUAAGUCAGGGGUGAAAUCCUGGAGCUCAACUCCAGAACUGCCUUUGAUACUGAGAAGCUUGAGUUCGGGAGAGGUGAGUGGAACUGCGAGUGUAGAGGUGAAAUUCGUAGAUAUUCGCAAGAACACCAGUGGCGAAGGCGGCUCACUGGCCCGAUACUGACGCUGAGGUGCGAAAGCGUGGGGAGCAAACAGGAUUAGAUACCCUAGUAGUCC
This 744-nucleotide ribosomal RNA is filed under the name uncultured bacterium. RNAcentral's name for it is "bacterial SSU rRNA". It matches the Rfam family "Bacterial small subunit ribosomal RNA", at positions 8 to 796 of the family's 1533-position model. The record is from RNAcentral.